RNA transcript from Triticum dicoccoides, 2146 nucleotides. It is a transcript of the gene named probable methyltransferase PMT12, with no coding region annotated. NCBI's taxonomy places the organism in Eukaryota, Viridiplantae, Streptophyta, Magnoliopsida, Poales, Poaceae. The record is from RefSeq and is a predicted model, not a curated record. The transcript has 8 exons.
CGAGCGCCGCCCGUACGCCGCACCCGCAGCCACGCACUCGAGGCCGAGCUCCCGAGCGCGCCGCCGCCUCCACCUUGCGACCCGCCGGCGACCGGAUCCUCGCCGGAGAUGAGUGCCGCCGUGCCCUGCUCCCUCCUCUCUUCCUCUGUCUCCUCUCACCUCGCUCAUCCCCCGAUCUCUCUGUCCCCAGGACGAACAGGAGCAUGCUAUGGCCUCGGAUCCGCGCCGCCGUCGUCGGAGAACGUCGUCCGCCACCGGUUCUUCGACCACAACUACCGGAUCAAGUUGCCCCGCCUCCGAUCUACCCGUUCCCGGCCACCCCAACCUCGCCUCGUCGUCGGGCGCGCAGAGAGACGGCCAUGGCCGCCCGAUUCCCGAGCGCCGCCUGCCAAGGUGGCUGCCCGAUGCACGAGCGCCGCCGGCCAAGGACCCGCCGGCGUCCAGACCCCCUCCACGCCAUCCCCAUCUCGCCGGAGACCUGCUCCAAGUCUGGCCGCCCUCCAAACAGUACGCGGAGACAGAGGCCAAGGAUGACAGGCAACUCUUGGAGGAGGACACCUCAAAUCAGUCUGGGAAGUUGUCGUCGUUUUCCUCGGGCAGCAAUGCAAAUUAUUGUAAUGAUACUUAUCAACGUUUUUAUUUGGUUGUGCAGUACUCGCUAGGUGCUUGACGAAAUUCCCAUAUGAUGCAUGUGGCAAGGUUCCUAGAGGAUAAUGUAGAUUAAUGAUUCCAUGGAGAGCUCCCAGAAUCUUCAAUUGGAGGCAAUUAAAGACGGACCUCACCGGAUUGGAUUUGUCUAGCAUUCCAGCUAAGUUUCAAGGUAGCUUUAGGACUCCAUCCAAACAAUCACUGAUUAGUGGGUAGUAGGCAUGCAGUUUCAGUUAACCCGAAGCAUAAUCCACAUACAUUGUUCACUGGAGGUAUCCGUGCCAUUACACUCAUCCCUCUGUGUGAGUGACACAACUAUGUACUGCUAUAAAAACACCGGAGUGCCCAACAAUAUCUUAUAAUGGCUUUGGUGGCAGUAUGAGGCCUGGGAUAAUGUUUACUUGUGAUUCACAAAAUGGAAGUAUGUGCUAUAUCUUUGUAUGAAAUUAAGGAAACAUGUCACGUUCAUUGUCGCCUGGUUUAUGGUAACUGGUGUUGCCCCCUCCCUUGGAAUCUCUCAGAUCUAUGGCAUAGCCAGUUCUCCAUCCCGCAGUUUUCGCAUGUUGCAACACAGUGGCUCUUUUGUAGGACCAUCGUCGACAUAGACAAGUUCUGCUUCAAGGACGAGACAUAGAAGAAGGCUCGACAAGAGGAAGGAAGCAGCAUCCAUGUAAAGGAAUUUCUGCAAUGUAAUUCUGUGAAUUGCAGGUGUGGUUUAGCAACGUACCUCAUACAUACUUGGUUGCUGACAAAGGAGGGCAGAAUUGGUGUGACGCCCCGAGACCGAUGUGCCAGGCAAGACGACCAUACCCUCGACAUGGGUUGUAUGAAGAUUAUCUCACUUGCGACAUUGCUUUCAAUGCGGUUAUGCCUCUAAGUCGUGCUUCGACACGUGGGAGAUAUAGCUGCAUCAAGGGCGUUACAAUUGGAUUACAAAGGCUAAAGAUGGUACCAUCUGGCUCUCGCACUAGAGUUUUUCUGGAUGUUGGCUUUGGAGUAACAAGUUUUGGGCCAUACUUAAUUUCACGUGAAUUUGAGCAUGGUGUUCCUGUAAUGGUGGCAACUAAUUUAACACCGGCUAUUAUCCAAUGUUCCUGCUGUAGAAUAAAUUCGACAUGUGAUGGUGAGCUGAGAGAUGGAGGACCUAGCUCUCAAACGGACCAUGUUGGGAGAUUGUGAGGAAAAUAUGUUUCUAUGUGGAGGAAGCCUUUUAUAAAUAACUCAUGGUACAUGAGUCGUGAUCCUAGGGUCAAACCUCCACUUUGUGAUACUGAUGAUAAUUCCAGAUAAUGUCUGGUAUUUUCAACCCCAUCUGAUAUGCUUUUAAUAGUUAUGCCUCAAUUCAAGGACUAAAUUCAGAAUAUGUAUUAAGAAAGUUGUCCAUACUUUUUUUAGAUUUGUUUUGAACAUUUGCAUAAUUAUGCAAUCAUCUCUUGCAAAGUGUAGUCUCAUGAUUUCAACUUAUUUUUUUGUUGAUGAGUGAAUGUGUGAUACGUAA